AUGUUCUCAGAGAGUGUGUCUCCGUCCACAGGUAUCACAUUCCCUCCAUGUUCUGAGCCAGAAGCAGCUUCAACAGAGGGCAAUCCUGCAGGAAUGGGAGUAUUCUCUGAGAAACUAUCUCCUACAGCAGGUAUGUUUCUUCUCUGUGUUUGUGAUCAUGUUUGCUUCCACGGAGGGCAAGCCAUAGUAUCCAGAAUGUUCUCAGAGAGUGUGUCUCCUUCCACAGGUAUCACAUUCCCUCCAUGUUCUGAGACAGAAGCAGCUUCAACAGAGGGCAAUCCUGCAGGAAUGGGAGUGUUCUCAGGGACACUAUCUCCUACAGCAGGUAUUGUUUCUUCUCUGUGUUUUGUGAUCAUGUUUGCUUCCACAGAGGGCAAGCUCAUAGUAUCCAGAAUGUUCUCAGAGAGUGUGUCUCCUUCCACAGGUAUCGCAUUCCCUUCAUGUUCUGAGACAGAAGCAGCUUCAACAGAGGGCAAUCCUGCAGGAAUGGGAGUAUUCUCUGAGAGACUAUCUCCUACAGCAGGUAUUGUUUCUUCUCUGUGUUUUGUGAUCAUGUUUGCUUCCACAGAGGGCAAGCCCAUAGUAUCCAGAAUGUUCUCAGAGAGUGUGUCUCCUUCCACAGGUAUCACAUUCCCUCCGUGUUCUGAGCCAGAAGCAGCUUCAACAGAGGGCAAUCCUGCAGGAAUGGGAGUAUUCUCUGAGAAACUAUCUCCUACAGCAGGUAUUGUUUCUUCUCUGUGUUUUGUGAUCAUCUUUGCUUCCACGGAGGGCAAGCCCAUAGUAUGCAGAAUGUUCUCAGAGAGUGUGUCUCCUUCCACAGGUAUCACAUUCCCUCCAUGUUCUGAGCCAGAAGCAGCUUCAACAGAGGGCGAUCCUGCAGGAAUGGGAGUACUCUUGGAGAGACUCUCUCCUACAGCAGGUAUUGUGUCUUCUCCAUGUUUUGUGAUAAUGUUUGAUUCUAGAAAGAACAAGCCUGUAGUAUCCAGAAUGUUCUCAGAGAGUGUGUCUCCUUCCACAGGUAUCGCAUUCCCUCCAUGUUCUAAGACAGAAGCUGCUUUGACAGAGGGCGAUACUGCAGGAAUGGGAGUACUCUCAGAGAGACUCUCUCCUACAGCAGGUAUUGCAUUCCGUCCAUGCUCUGAGACAGAAGCUGCUUUGACAGAGGGCGAUACUGCAGGAAUGGGAGUAUUCUCGGAGAGACUCUCUCCUACAGCAGGUAUCUAUGUUUUGUGAUUAUGUUUGCUUCCACAGAGAGCAACGAACAGUAUCCAGAAUGUUCUCAGGGAGUGUGUCUCUUUCCACAGGUAUUGCAUUCCACCCAUGUUCUGAGACAGAAGCUGCUUUGACAGAGGGCGAUACUGCAGGAAUGGGAGUAUUCUCGGAGAGACUCUCUCCUACAGCAGGUAUCUAUGUUUUGUGAUUAUGUUUGCUUCCACAGAGAGCAAACGAACAGUAUCCAGAAUGUUCUCAGGGAGUGUGUCUCUUUCCACAGGUAUUGCAUUCCACCCAUGUUCUGAGACAGAAGCUGCUUUGACAGAAAGUAAUAUUGCAGGAAUGGGAGUAUUCUCUGAGAAACUCUCUCCUACCGCAGGUAUCUAUGUUUUGUGAUCAUGUUUGCUUCCACAGAGAGCAAGCCCACAGUAUCCAGAAUGUUCUCAGAGCGUGUCUCUUUCCACAGGUAUUGCAUUCCACCCAUGCUCUGAGACAGAAGCUGCUUUGACAGAGGGCGAUACUGCAGGAAUGGGAGUACUCUUGGAGAGACUCUCUCCUACAGCAGGUAUCUGUGAUCAUGCUUCCACAGAGAGCAAGCGAACAGUAUCCAGAAUGUUCUCAGAGAGUGUGUCUCUUUCCACAGGUAUUGCAUUCCACCCAUGCUCUGAGACAGAAGCUGCUUUGACAGAAA
This 1903-nucleotide long non-coding RNA is filed under the name Phascolarctos cinereus (koala). Its description in RNAcentral is "lncRNA (ENSPCIG00000031177.1)". Lineage: Eukaryota; Metazoa; Chordata; Mammalia; Diprotodontia; Phascolarctidae. The record is from RNAcentral.